Long non-coding RNA from Capsicum annuum, 654 nucleotides. RefSeq lists it as uncharacterized. The transcript is spliced from 2 exons. Lineage: Eukaryota; Viridiplantae; Streptophyta; Magnoliopsida; Solanales; Solanaceae. The record is from RefSeq and is a predicted model, not a curated record.
UUUUCUUGGUAUUCAGGUCGUUUUGUUUCCGGUUUUGGAAAGAGUAUACAGAAUAAAACAAUACUGACAUUGUUUAUUUGUUUUUUUUUAACGAAUUUUUGUUGGUCUUUUAGACCAUUUUAUUAAUAAGAAACCCAUUAGCCAAAUUUACAAAACUCCAAAGCACAAAAGGACCUGGUCCAAAAAUUGGAAAUUGAAAAGGUUUCCUAAUUUUGCUAUUAGAUAAAAGGCUAAUACAAGAGCACUAAGUACUCUUUCUUGAAGCUCGUCGCCGACUUCAACUAUGUUGCCGAUGGAACGCCCAGCUAUGUGUCUUCCUCCUUUGAGCGAUGUUUCGAGUGAAUCCAUGGCUACUGUUGCUGCUGCUCUGCUUAUGUACUUCACUUUCAUCAGGUGUUUUGCUCUGAUGGAUUCCAGUGAAAAUUGGCGUACUCAGCUCACUCCUAGUCAUACUGGUGGUGAGAACGAAGUAGCUGGUGUGGAUAAUGGAGAAGAGUAGCAUAACUCGAGCAAGAGAAGAUCAAGCUCUAAGGUGUGAUGAAGAUUUUGAUAAUUUCUUUUUUAACCACAUGAUAUGAUUAGAAGAUCGACAUCUAGGCAAUGAUGAAAUUUUGCGACUGUUAAAUGUUAUUAGUGAACCUGCAAAUUUUCUGG